AUACGUAGGGGGCAAGCGUUGUCCGGAAUUACUGGGUUUAAAGGGUGUGUAGGCGGUGUAUUAAGUCAGUGGUGAAAGCCUGCGGCUCAACCGUAGAACUGCCAUUGAUACUGACACACUUGAGUAUGGACGAGGUAGGCGGAAUUUAUGGUGUAGCGGCGAAAUGCAUAGAUACCAUAAAGAACACCGAUAGCGAAGGCAGCUUACUAGGCCAUAACUGACGCUGAGGCACGAAAGCGUGGGGAGCGAACAGGAUUAGAAACCCCAGUAGUCC
RNAcentral lists this ribosomal RNA (274 nucleotides) under uncultured bacterium. RNAcentral describes it as "partial 16S ribosomal RNA". It matches the Rfam family "Bacterial small subunit ribosomal RNA", at positions 523 to 796 of the family's 1533-position model. The record is from RNAcentral.